This 323-nucleotide ribosomal RNA is filed under the name uncultured eukaryote. RNAcentral describes it as "partial 18S ribosomal RNA". It matches the Rfam family "Eukaryotic small subunit ribosomal RNA", at positions 1470 to 1796 of the family's 1831-position model. The record is from RNAcentral.
CCCUUAGAUGUUCUGGGCUGCACGCGCGCUACACUGAUGCGCUCAACGAGUUUUAACCUUGCCUGGAAAGGUUGGGUAAUCUUUUUAAAACGCAUCGUGAUGGGGAUAGAUUAUUGCAAUUAUUAAUCUUCAACGAGGAAUUCCUAGUAAGCGCGAGUCAUCAGCUCGUGCUGAUUACGUCCCUGCCCUUUGUACACACCGCCCGUCGCUCCUACCGAUUGGGUGAUCCGGUGAAUGAUUCGGACUGACGUUGUACUAGCUACUAGUUCAAUGUUAGGAAGUUUUGUGAACCUAAUCACUUGGAGGAAGGAGAAGUCGUAACA